Molecule: long non-coding RNA, 799 nt
Organism: Clupea harengus (Atlantic herring)
Lineage: Eukaryota; Metazoa; Chordata; Actinopteri; Clupeiformes; Clupeidae
Source: RefSeq, a predicted model, not a curated record
GCUGUGGUGUCUGAGCUUGUGAACCGCUACCUCCCGUGCGGUGCGGUUUACGGUUUUGCCCAAGGUGUCCGUUAACUGAAGGAAAUUGCACCACUUCAUCAGAGAACUAGAGUACUUUCUCUCAGCAAGGCUGAGAAUAGACCUGAGAAACUGGCAGGUACAUCUUGUUCCAAAGUCCUGUGUUGCGUACUGGUUGUGGGCAUUGCAGAGGCCUAGUUGAGGAUGCACUUCUUGGAUUGUGGUCUGGGAGUUGGUCAAUCUCCUGGAUGUGUGGUGGUUGAAGGGCCAACUUGAGAACCUCAUCUGAACUAAGGCGCUUACUACCUUGUGUUGGUUUCCUGCAGCAUGUCUUCUGUCGUGAAGUGGGAACCACAUCAUGAGGCUGCAGGCAGACACUGCCUAGGUGGAAGCUCUGCUCUGUGAAGGAGAAUUGGCUGCUUGGAUCUGCACAGGCAUCAUGACUUGGACCUACUCCUGAGGCAUGCCACCCCCUGACUGGAUUUGAGGUGCCAGUUAAUUCUGGUCCUGACCAUCUGUCCUAAAAUGGGUCCAUACAGACCUUGUGUGCAUACAGGUUUGAAAUCCUUGGCAGCAGUCCUGGCCAGACACGGAUGAAAAAGGGUCCAUACAGAAAAACGAUCUGAAUGUGUGCUGAGGAGUGGGGAGGUCCAUGCCACGUUUCCGGACCUGAUUUCAACGAGGUUGCCUGCAUCCUCAGUGAUUUGGGUCCCAGCUACCCCCAAGCUCUACUCCCUCCCUGUCUGCGUCAAGACUUUUUUUUUUUUUUUUUUUUUUUUUU